This 447-nucleotide ribosomal RNA is filed under the name uncultured bacterium. RNAcentral's name for it is "bacterial SSU rRNA". It matches the Rfam family "Bacterial small subunit ribosomal RNA", at positions 29 to 523 of the family's 1533-position model. The record is from RNAcentral.
AACGAACGCUGGCGGCAGGCUUAACACAUGCAAGUCGAGCGAACUCUUCGGAGUUAGCGGCGGACGGGUGAGUAACGCGUGGGAACGUGCCCUUCUCUGCGGAAUAGCCACUGGAAACGGUGAGUAAUACCGCAUACGCCCUUCGGGGGAAAGAUUUAUCGGAGAAGGAUCGGCCCGCGUUGGAUUAGGUAGUUGGUGAGGUAACGGCUCACCAAGCCGACGAUCCAUAGCUGGUUUGAGAGGAUGAUCAGCCACACUGGGACUGAGACACGGCCCAGACUCCUACGGGAGGCAGCAGUGGGGAAUCUUAGACAAUGGGGAAACCCUGAUCUAGCCAUGCCGCGUGAGUGACGAAGGCCCUAGGGUCGUAAAGCUCUUUCACCAGGGAAGAUAAUGACGGUACCUGGAGAAGAAACCCCGGCUAACUCCGUGCCAGCGCCGCGGUAA